AAGUCGUAACAAGGUUUCCGUAGGUGAACCUGCGGAAGGAUCAUUAUCGAGUUAGGGUUCCUUUACGGGCCCGACCUCCAACCCGGUGUCUAAUACCUUACCAUGCUUGUCGUCUCGGGCGGGGCCCCGCCCUGUAAAAAGGGGCCGCCGGGGGUGCCCGUCACCUCUGGCCCGCGCCCGUCGAUAGCCCACAACAAACUCUUUUAAACCGUGUCCUGUCUGAAUAAACCAAAAAAUUAAGCACAAAA
Molecule: unclassified non-coding RNA, 248 nt
Filed under: plant metagenome
Description: partial contains small subunit ribosomal RNA and internal transcribed spacer 1
Rfam family: Eukaryotic small subunit ribosomal RNA (bases 1-46)
Source: RNAcentral